This 234-nucleotide long non-coding RNA is filed under the name Phaseolus vulgaris (common bean). RNAcentral's name for it is "long non-coding RNA (PVUL_LNC000604)". Lineage: Eukaryota; Viridiplantae; Streptophyta; Magnoliopsida; Fabales; Fabaceae. The record is from RNAcentral.
AGUGUCAGAGUGCAAACGGCCGUUAGAGCGCCUCUUUGUCUGUUGCAGGUGAGAGAUUUCUUGAUCAAGAAGGCACGUUCCUCAGGCAAGACUAAAGGGCGACAUCAGUUGUUAGAGUCAACCGGCGGAGCAAGUCAAUCGACAGGAACAUUUGGCGCCCACCGUGGGGCCCGUUAAAACAAGAUCCCACUCACAGUUACAUUAAGAGUCUUUACCAACAAUAUGAGGAGUACG